RNAcentral lists this ribosomal RNA (429 nucleotides) under Myrmeleon hyalinus. RNAcentral's name for it is "partial 16S ribosomal RNA". It matches the Rfam family "Archaeal large subunit ribosomal RNA", at positions 1996 to 2624 of the family's 2987-position model. The record is from RNAcentral. Lineage: Eukaryota; Metazoa; Arthropoda; Insecta; Neuroptera; Myrmeleontidae.
AAUUUUGAAGGGCCGCAGUAUUCUGACUGUGCAAAGGUAGCAUAAUCAUUUGCCUUUUAAUUAAAGGCUCGUAUGAAUGGUUGAACGAAAUACAAACUGUCUCACUUUAAGAAGUUUAAAAAUUUAGCUUUCAAGUCAAAAGGCUUGAAUAAUAUUAGAUGACGAGAAGACCCUAUAGAACUUUAUAAUAUUUUUUGUGAAUUUACAUAGUAAGAUAUUUUUUAUUUAUAAAUAUUAUUAUUUUGUUGGGGUGACAGGAAAAUAAGCAAAACUUUUUUGAAUUUUAAACAUUGAUUUAUGAAUAUUUGAUCCAUUAUUAGUGAUUAUUAGAAUAAGUUACCUUAGGGAUAACAGCGUAAUUUUGUUGGAGAGUUCAAAUCGAUAACAAAGUUUGCGACCUCGAUGUUGAAUUAAAGAAAUUUUAGAGUG